CAAACAUUUGAUUGAUUAUCAAAUGCUCAUAGAGAGACGAAAUGUCCGUUGGCGCUAGAAAUCCAUGCGUUGGAGAAACCAAUGUCUAGAAGACAGAAUACGUCUCUGAUAAUCAAAAGAAAUAAGUAAAAAAGAGUCAAAGUCUAAAAGACUAAUUGGAUUUGUGUAUCUGAUUUCUCCAAUGUCUGACCUCCUAUUUCUCAUCUAUUUGUAUCAGAUUUGGGUAACAAGAGCCAUAUUUCUGACUUCCUUUAAUUUUGAAUCUUAUAUCUGGAUUUCUAGAGGCAGCAGAAGUCUUAUUACAAAGUUGAAGCUCGUGAAAUUUUACUAUGAAAUACCAUGAAUCAAGAAAGAUUGAAUGAAUUAGCAAUUUAGGUAUUGAAAGUGAUUUUUUACAUAAUAUUGAAUAAUGUAAAAUAAGAGAUUAUUUUGAUUCAAAAAAUGCACGAAGACAUCAUUUUU
This is a long non-coding RNA of Lactuca sativa (garden lettuce), 462 nucleotides long. RefSeq lists it as uncharacterized. NCBI's taxonomy places the organism in Eukaryota, Viridiplantae, Streptophyta, Magnoliopsida, Asterales, Asteraceae. The record is from RefSeq and is a predicted model, not a curated record.